This 493-nucleotide ribosomal RNA is filed under the name Lactobacillus sp. DumLac13. RNAcentral's name for it is "bacterial SSU rRNA". It matches the Rfam family "Bacterial small subunit ribosomal RNA", at positions 60 to 529 of the family's 1533-position model. Lineage: Bacteria; Bacillati; Bacillota; Bacilli; Lactobacillales; Lactobacillaceae. The record is from RNAcentral.
AGCGAGCGGAACCAACAGAUUUACCUCGGUAAUGACGUUGGGAAAGCGAGCGGCGGAUGGGUGAGUAACACGUGGGGAACCUGCCCCUAAGUCUGGGAUACCAUUUGGAAACAGGUGCUAAUACCGGAUAAUAAAGCAGAUCGCAUGAUCAGCUUUUGAAAGGCGGCGUAAGCUGUCGCUAAGGGAUGGCCCCGCGGUGCAUUAGCUAGUUGGUAAGGUAACGGCUUACCAAGGCGACGAUGCAUAGCCGAGUUGAGAGACUGAUCGGCCACAUUGGGACUGAGACACGGCCCAAACUCCUACGGGAGGCAGCAGUAGGGAAUCUUCCACAAUGGACGCAAGUCUGAUGGAGCAACGCCGCGUGAGUGAAGAAGGUUUUCGGAUCGUAAAGCUCUGUUGUUGGUGAAAAGGAUAAGGUAUAACUGGCCUUUAUUUGACGGUAAUCAACCAAAAGUCACGGCUAACUACGUGCCAGCAGCCGCGGUAAUACGUA